AAUGGGCGAAAGCCUGGUCCAGCCAUGCCGCGUGCAGGAUGAAGGCCUUCGGGUUGUAAACUGCUUUUGUACGGAACGAAAAGCCUCUUUCUAAUAAAGAGGGGUCAUGACGGUACCGUAAGAAUAAGCACCGGCUAACACGUGCCAGCAGCCGCGGUAAUACGUAGGGUGCAAGCGUUAAUCGGAAUUACUGGGCGUAAAGCGUGCGCAGGCGGUUUUGUAAGACAGAGGUGAAAUCCCCGGGCUCAACCUGGGAACUGCCUUUGUGACUGCAAGGCUGGAGUGCGGCAGAGGGGGAUGGAAUUCCGCGUGUAGCAGUGAAAUGCGUAGAUAUGCGGAGGAACACCGAUGGCGAAGGCAAUCCCCUGGGCCUGCACUGACGCUCAUGCACGAAAGCGUGGGGAGCAAACAGGAUU
Molecule: ribosomal RNA, 416 nt
Filed under: uncultured beta proteobacterium
Lineage: Bacteria; Pseudomonadati; Pseudomonadota; Betaproteobacteria
Description: bacterial SSU rRNA
Rfam family: Bacterial small subunit ribosomal RNA
Source: RNAcentral